This 447-nucleotide ribosomal RNA is filed under the name uncultured bacterium. RNAcentral's name for it is "partial 16S ribosomal RNA". It matches the Rfam family "Bacterial small subunit ribosomal RNA", at positions 29 to 523 of the family's 1533-position model. The record is from RNAcentral.
AGCGAACGCUGGCGGCAGGCCUAAUACAUGCAAGUCGAAUGCCCCUUCGGGGGAGUGGCGGACGGGUGAGUAACGCGUGGGAACGUGCCCUUUGGUACGGAACAACUGAGGGAAACUUCAGCUAAUACCGUAUGUGCCCUUCGGGGGAAAGAUUUAUCGCCAUUGGAGCGGCCCGCGUUGGAUUAGCCAGUUGGUGGGGUCAAGGCCUACCAAGGCGACGAUCCAUAGCUGGUUUGAGAGGAUGACCAGCCACACUGGGACUGAGACACGGCCCAGACUCCUACGGGAGGCAGCAGUAGGGAAUCUUGGGCAAUGGGCGAAAGCCUGACCCAGCCAUGCCGCGUGAAUGAUGAAGGUCUUAGGAUUGUAAAAUUCUUUCACCGGGGACGAUAAUGACGGUACCCGGAGAAGAAGCCCCGGCUAACUUCGUGCCAGCAGCCGCGGUAA